This 253-nucleotide ribosomal RNA is filed under the name uncultured bacterium. RNAcentral describes it as "partial 16S ribosomal RNA". It matches the Rfam family "Bacterial small subunit ribosomal RNA", at positions 524 to 776 of the family's 1533-position model. The record is from RNAcentral.
GACAGAGGGUGCAAACGUUGCUCGGAAUUACUGGGCGUAAAGCGCACGCAGGCGGUCUGCUAAGUUUGGAGUGACAGUUGGUGGCUUAACUGCCAAAGUGCUUCGAAAACUGACAGACUUGAGGGCUUCAGAGGGACACGGAAUUCCGGGUGGAGUGGUGAAAUGCGUAGAGAUCCGGAGGAACACCAAAGGCGAAGGCAGUGUCCUGGGGAGUACCUGACGCUCAGGUGCGAAAGCCAGGGGAGCGAACGGG